Molecule: transfer-messenger RNA, 402 nt
Filed under: Algoriphagus machipongonensis
Lineage: Bacteria; Pseudomonadati; Bacteroidota; Cytophagia; Cytophagales; Cyclobacteriaceae
Description: Standard tmRNA
Rfam family: transfer-messenger RNA
About the family: Bacterial tmRNA, also known as 10Sa RNA or SsrA, is named for its dual tRNA and mRNA-like properties. Its role is to liberate the mRNA from a stalled ribosome.
Source: Rfam by way of RNAcentral
GGGGCUGACCGGUAUUGACAGUAAGUGUAAAGAUCGGGCUCGCAUGCAGGCUGGAGUAUGUACGGCCUUGAAAGAUUCAUACGAACUAUAAUUGGCGAAAAUACUUACGCCAUGGCUGCCUAAUCUAACCUUUUAGGAUAGAUUGCUUAAAGGGUUGAGUUUCGAAGCGGAAUUCCCCGGCCACAUCUCACCACCCGUUGCCUGAUCCGGGUGGAUUUGAGGUGUCGACUUGAUCGGGUUGCGGUUUGUGAUGCUAUUAAGCAGACCUAAGAUCAAUAGCUAAGCCGUGACAAGGUGUGUCAUCCAGCAUAUCUCGGUCGAAAAUCUAACAGGUGACUAAGCAUGUAGACGGUACGUUGUUUCCUUAUCUGGACGCGAGUUCGAAUCUCGCCAGCUCCACAA